Molecule: ribosomal RNA, 1386 nt
Filed under: uncultured bacterium
Lineage: Bacteria
Description: 16S ribosomal RNA
Rfam family: Bacterial small subunit ribosomal RNA
Source: RNAcentral
AGAGUUUGAUCCUGGCUCAGGAUGAACGCUGGCGGCGUGCCUAAUACAUGCAAGUCGAACGCGGGCACUUGUGCCCGAGUGGCGAACGGGUGAGUAAUACAUAAGUAACCUGGCCUUUACAGGGGGAUAACUGCUGGAAACGGCAGCUAAGACCGCAUAGGUAGGGACACUGCAUGGUGACCGUAUUAAAAGUGCUGCAAGGCACUGGUAGAGGAUGGACUUAUGGCGCAUUAGCUGGUUGGUGAGGUAACGGCUCACCAAGGCGACGAUGCGUAGCCGACCUGAGUGGGUGACCGGCCACACUGGGACUGAGACACGGCCCAGACUCCUACGGGAGGCAGCAGUAGGGAAUUUUCGGCAAUGGGGGGAACCCUGACCGAGCAACGCCGCGUGAAGGAAGAAGGAAUUCGUUCUGUAAACUUCUGUUAUAAAGGAAGAAAGACGGAUGGAGGAAAUGACAUCCGAGUGACGGUACUUUAUGAGAAAGCCACGGCUAACUACGUGCCAGCAGCCGCGGUAAUACGUAGGUGGCAAGCGUUAUCCGGAAUUAUUGGGCGUAAAGAGGGAGCAGGCGGCAGCAAAGGUCUGUGGUGAAAGACUGAAGCUUAACUUCAGUAAGCCAUAGAAACCGGGCAGCUAGAGAGCAGGAGAGGAUCGUGGAAUUCCAUGUGUAGCGGUGAAAUGCGUAGAUAUAUGGAGGAACACCAGUGGCGAAGGCGACGAUCUGGCCUGCAACUGACGCUCAGUCCCGAAAGCGUGGGGAGCAAAUAGGAUUAGAUACCCUAGUAGUCCACGCCGUAAACGAUGAGUACUAAGUGUUGGAAGUCAAAUUUCAGUGCUGCAGUUAACGCAGUAAGUACUCCGCCUGAGUAGUACGUUCGCAAGAAUGAAACUCAAAGGAAUUGACGGGGGCCCGCACAAGCGGUGGAGCAUGUGGUUUAAUUCGAAGCAACGCGAAGAACCUUACCAGGUCUUGACAUACUCAUAAAGGAUCCAGAGAUGGAUAGAUAGUUAUAUGAGAUACAGGUGGUGCAUGGUUGUCGUCAGCUCGUGUCGUGAGAUGUUGGGUUAAGUCCCGCAACGAGCGCAACCCUUGUCGUUAGUUACCAUCAUUAAGUUGGGGACUCUAGCGAGACUGCCAGUGACAAGCUGGAGGAAGGCGGGGAUGACGUCAAAUCAUCAUGCCCCUUAUGACCUGGGCUACACACGUGCUACAAUGGAUGGUGCAGAGGGAAGCGAAGCCGCGAGGCGAAGCAAAACCCAUAAAACCAUUCUCAGUUCGGAUUGUAGUCUGCAACUCGACUACAUGAAGUUGGAAUCGCUAGUAAUCGCGAAUCAGCAUGUCGCGGUGAAUAAGUUCUCGGGCCUUGCACUCACCGCCCGUCA